CCCAGACCAUACUUUGCGUCCUCGAUGGGGCCAGAGCGCCCAGGCAGCUUGUUCACAGAGCUCUUUUGCUGAGUCGCGUAAUGAGAUGCGCUGGCCUUUAUUUAUAGGAUUGCCUCAAGGAUAUGACAGGAAGAAUUGAGUAUGCUGCCAAGAUAUUAAAUGAAAUUCCCCGGGAAGCCAAUGAAUGCAUUCAAAAGAACCUCUGAGGCAGAAACGAGGAAGAAACGGGCAAGGUAAGUCACACAUAAUGAUCUCAGUUUGUGUCCAUUGAUCUGGCCAUAAUGUGCCUUUGGGAAGGGAAUGGCUGUAAAGUUCGUUCGUUCUUUUUUCUUUUUUUAAAAGUCACUCCCAUGCUUCCAAGGGGGUUGGGGCGUUGGCGGUGGUGGCAAGUUUGCCAGCUGAACUAAUUGGGUCGCAGGAGUUUCUUGCCAAAGUCUUCCCCUUCUUUGUGCGUUGGCUCUGAAGUAUUUUAAAAGAAAGAUGCCUGGAAGUGCCACAAAACUCCUGGCUGCAGUAAAGGAUGGAUGGAUUCAUUGAUUUCUGGUUCUUGUUAGCUCAAGAACUGUUAUGUACUAAGCUUGGAUCCUAGAACAAUAGGCAAGUAGGAUCCUAGAAUGCAACAGCUGAUUUGCCUGCAGGAAAAGACCAAUCAGGCUCCAGGAGGGAAGGAGAAUCAGCCAAUCAGACGGGAUUUAUUGUGUAAAUUGUGUAUAUAAAAGCCUGAGGUUUGGGGGGCAAUUCAAUCACUGUUUCUAAGAGCUGCAGUAAAGAGCAUGAAAUCACUAUAGGACUCCGAGUAUAUUUCAAGAACAUAAGGCAAUCCAGUCCAGCAUCCUUUUCUCACAGUGGCCAAGCAGAUUCCUGUGGGAAGCUCAUAAGCAGGACAUGAGCCCCAGAGCCCUGUCACCUUUGUGGUUUCUGGCAAGUGGUAUUGCUUCCUCUGACCAGGGAAGCAGAGCUUAGCCACAUGUGUCUGGUUGCAAGUCUGUUCUAUCCCAUUUGCUGCAAUUUUUUUUUUAAAGCACAAAAAUUGUAUUUAAUGUUUAUGCAUUUGUUGAGCGCCAGGUUUGAUUCAAGGUGUAGAUCAUGCAAACUGGGGGAGGAAAAUUGUGUUGCGAUUUGCAUCAGUACAGGAAAUGCAAAUAAGGUCCGUCCAUUUCAAAAUACAGACGGGAAAAGGAAAUCUCCAUCAUCCCCUGGUUACAUCCUUGUCUGCCAACUCAGGUUAUUUUAUUUUAAAGAACCUCUGGUGGUAUCUUGUGGCUGCUGGCUUGGAUUCACCAUCUUAUCGGCAUGGUUGUGGAGCUGUUUUUAAAAAAAUCAUUUUUAUUGAUUUUCCAAUCAAAAACAUCCAAUUAAUAUAUCAAAUCAUAAUACUCCAAUUAACAUAAAAAACUAAAAUAAAAAAGACCAAAUUAUAGUCCAAAUUAUAAUUAUUAAUUUUUCAGAGCUCCCCACGAAGCAUAUCUCCACAUCUCAGUCCUGCCUCUCCUUGUCGUUUCCGUAUUUUCCACAUCUCGAUUUUGACGCUUUAUAAUUCUCCAUCCCUGAGUCCACGAUUCUCAAUCAUGUCAAACAUCAUAUACUUUCAUCCGUCGAAUACAGUUUUAUUAGCAUAUAUUUUUCCAACUGCCUUUUUAUCAGCUCAGCUUCCUCUGACUCCAUUCAAAUCUGGGAUGUUGUCCAAGUCUGUUAUCUGAAGUUUAAUGGUGCAGCAACUCCCAAUCAUUAAUUGUCCAAACCUUCCUUUUCAGCUUUAUUAAACCAGUACAGUGGCACCUCGAGUUAAGUACUUAAUUCGUUCCGGAGGUCCGUUCUUAACCUGAAACUGUUCUUAACCUGAAGACCACUUUAGCUAAUGGGGCCUCCCACUGCCGCUGCGCUGCCAUCAUGCGAUUUCUGUUCUCAUCCUGAAGCAAAGUUCUUAACCCGAGGUACUAUUUCUGGGUUAGUGAAGUCUGUAACCUGAAGCGUAUGUAACCUGAAGCGUAUGUAACCUGAAGAGUAUGUAACCCGAGGUACCACUGUACCUUCCAAGUUAAGGUUCAACAUCUUUAUGCGCCCCCUAGCCCAGCUUGUCCGGAGUUUUGGGCUGGGUUGCCAUCAGUAUGCCGAUGACACCCAACUCUAUCUGUUGAUGGGUGGCCAUCCUGACUCGGCCCCAGACACACUGACCAGAUGUUUGGAAGCUGUGGCUGGAUGGUUACGUGGGAGCCGGUUGAAGCUAAAUCCUUCGAAGACAGAGGUCCUGUGGCUGGGACGGGAUGAUAUCGGAUUGGGGGGGCAACUCCCAUCUCUUGCGGGGGCACAAUUAGUGCCAGCACCAUCCGUUAAGAGUUUGGGUGUAAUCUUCGACACCUCCCUUUCCAUGGAGGAACAGAUUGCAGCUAUAACAAAGGCGGCAUUUUUCCAUCUCCGCCAAGCUAAGCAGUUGGCUCCUUAAAUCUCUCGCCCUGACCUAGCCACUGUGAUCCACGCGACGGUCACCUCCAGACUGGAUUAUUGUAACUCGCUCUACGUGGGGCUGCCCUUGAGACUGACCCAGAAACUCCAGCGGGUGCAGAAUGCUGCAGCGAGACUCCUUAUGGGGUCUUCGCUGCGAGAUCACAUUCACCCGGUGCUAUACCAGCUGCACUGGCUCCCGGUGGAGUACAAGAUCAGGAUUAAGGUGCUGGUUUUAACCUUUAAAGCCCUAUACGGCCUAGGACCCUCGUACCUACGGGACCGCCUCUCCUGGUAUGCCCCACAGAGAAACUUACGGUCUUCAAAUAAAAACAUCUUGAAGGUCCCAGGCCACAGAGAAGUUAGGCUGGCCUCAACUAGAGCCAGGGCUUUUCGGCUGUGGCUCCGAUCUGGUGGAACACUCUGUCACAAGAGACUAGGGCCCUGCGGGACUUGACAUCUUUCUGCAGGGCCUGCAAGACAGAGCUGUUCCACCAGGCCUUUGGCCAGGGCACAGCCUGACUCCCUCCCUUGGCAAUCUUCGCGGAGCUCUGGCCCAAUGGUUGCCAGUGGCUUGAUACGAAUUAAUUUUAUAAUGAAUGAUUUUAGAGUGUUGUUUGUGCUGUACUUUUGUACUGUUUUAUUGUUGUUAGCCGCCCUGAGCCCGGCUUUGGCUGGGGAGGGCGGGAUAUAAAUAAAAUUUAUUAUUACUAUUAUUAUUAUCAUUAUUAAAUUGUUAGGCAAAACUGUUUGCAAUAUUGCAAUGUAGAUAAACCGUAUUCCACAAAUAUCAGUCAUUUGGCGAUUGAUCAGCCUUUGGAGAUUGCACUCUCCCCCCCUCCGGGCCCUAGAGGGGGGGUUGCUAGACACCACUUAGCCUUAUUUCUUGCUCAUAAUGAAUAUGUGGAGCUGUUAACAUGGCAAGGAGCCAAUCUCAGGUCUCCAGCUGAGGAUUCCUGCAGACCUAGAUGCUGAGCAGGACAAGAUGUUGCUGCAGAAACAAUAAAGGGUCAUGUAGAUAGAACUCUUUGGUUUAGGGUGCCUCCUCCCAGUGCCAGGGACUGGACAUCAGAGGAGGAAUGGUGGAGAUGGCCUCCCCCUUCUCCUGAACCUUCCUGAGAAGAGGAGGACAGUACAGUGGUACCUCAGGUUACAAACACCUUGGGUUACAAACACUUCGGGUUACAAACUCCGCUAACCUGGAAGUAGUACCUCGGGUUGAGAACUUUGCCCCAGGAUGAGAACGGAAAUUGUGCAGCGGCGGCGCGGCGGCUGUGGGAGCCCCCGUUAGCAAAAGCGCGCCUCAGGUUAAGAACGGUUUUGGGUUAACAACGGACCUCCCGAACGAAUUAAGUUCGUACCUGAGGUACCACUGUAUAGAUUAACAACGGUGGUUUGCAGAGGGUCACAGCUCAGAGAUAGAAGAGGGGCAAAGCUGGGAGAUAAUGGGAGAAGCAGAGCAGGAACAGCUGGCUGACACAUUAUCACUAGAGAGUAUUCCAGACCCCCAUUCUCCCAGAACAUGGCGAGCAAUGAAAGUAGGAGAGCCGAGAGCCCAGAGGCAAUUGUCCCUAAGCAGACACCGUAAGGGAGGUGGGGUUGUUGAUGACUGAGAAGGGAAGGGGGGGGAGGAGAUAACUCGGAGCAUCGCCAUUAUCCAAGAGAUGGCGUUCUAUGUCUCACUCUGUGAAUAUUGAAUAUAAUACUUUGGUAAGAGCUUCUUGUCUUUCCAUUACUGCCGCGAGGGAGGGGGAUCGGAUUCCCUGAAGCCUGACACCCAGAGGGCUACAAGAUGGAACGUUUUCACUGCCAAACACAAACCAAAAGAAAAAACCACUUCCAUCCCUGGUCCUGGAGGGUUCUGGCUGGGUCAGGGUACAAGAGGCCCCUUGGUUCUGCAAACACAUUGGGUGGGGAUCUUCCAGGGUGGUGGCAGUGUUGGUUUAGUUGCCUUGCUCUUCUGUCUCCCUUUGGCCCCAUAUGUGUCCUCUGAGCAGGUCUUGUCUGUCUUCACCUUGCGUUCUUUGUAUGCCGCUUGCUUGCAAGAUUGCAAUCCAUAUGCCAUUUUGCUACCCAAGAAAUGUUGCUUUUGCAGUUCUGGGCAUGAGGUACACAAGGCAGUGCCCGUGGACAGAGCUGGCAUGCUGCCAUCCCAACAGCUGGCGGCGGAAGUGAACAGCAGCCAGGUGGCUAUGUAGAGCAUUAAAUGCAUUUGUCAGGAGCAUGAAAGUGGGCCAGAGUAGUGUCACGACGUGUGUGUGUGUGUGUUUGGUCAGAGCUCUCAAACCUGCUCCCAAAGGGAAGGGAGUAUGUCUGAAAACUCCACUUCUUCAAUGGGCUUCUCCACAGAAAACAACACCAGGCAUGGACAGCAUAAUUUUGGAAGAGGUUGCUGAUCCAGAUUGGUCUGUUGCAGCAGUGUGGAUGAUUGAGGCGGGUGCCAACUUGGAAGCUCAUCUAACAGGGCCUUGGCAGAAAAAGGAGCCUCUGUUGUUUCAAGGGGGUGGCCAAAAUUUGAGGGAAAUGUGGCCUUCACCCCAGUUUAGGUUACUAUGCCAGCAACUCCUGCCCACAUUCUAAACUAGCCUAUUUGCUUUGGGUAAAACUAGAUGUGGCUUCAGAUUUAACCUGUAAUCAAAUCUCUGCAUGUUGUUGUUUUUUUAAAUCAGAAAGAAGUCAGGUAUCUUUGCCUGAAUUCUUUGUGAGUGUGUGUGUUUCUCUGUCUUGUAGCUGUGAGUGCAGGUUCAAAGUGCAACAGAAGAGCUCGUUCUGUUUGUAACUUUGGAGUUACUUCUGCUGGCGUUGAAACCACUGGCUAGGAGGGUGUGUGUGUGUGGAGGCGUUCCUUAGGAACCAGGCAGAGUGCUCUGAUUGGCUGUGUAGUUCUGAGGGAAUUUUCCCACUGUAUGUUUAACUGAAUGCCACCCUGCUCUGUACAUGGCCUGAAGUAGGGGGGCAGGGUAGAGGAGGCAGGAGCAGCAGAGGCAGCAAGAUGUCGCCUCAAGUGGCAAAAUGUCCUGGGCUGACCCUGACUCAACCAAUCUCCACUUACUUGCAGCCAAUCAGAGGGUGGCUCUGCCUUCCAUUGUCUCUAGCUCCACCCACUGUUGGUCUCCCUAUCUUGCACCCCACCAGCUCCAAUGGGCAGCAGCCACCACUGGGUAGGUGAACAGGUGGCAGCAGGAAGAAUGAGCAGUACCAAGGCCAGCAGGUUCCAGGGACUGGUUGUGGACCCAUGACAGGGGCAUGGGCCUCUGGCGAAGCCCAGCGUUGCCAACCACUGAUGACGACCCUGGUCUUGGAUUCUUGAUGUGAACUGCUGCAGCCUAGUGGUUAGAGUGUUGGACAUGGACUGGGGAGACCAGAGUUCCAAGCCACCACUUGGCCAAGAGACAAGCUGAGCUGCCAGGGCCCAGUCACUACUGACCUACCUCUGAGGGUUCUUGUGAGGAUGAAACAGGGUGAGGGGGAACUAUGCGUGUCACAUUGAGCUCCUGGGAGAAAAUGUGGGCUAUAAAGGAAGGAAGGAAGGAAGGAAGGAAGGAAGGAAGGAAGGGCCACUUUGGAGUCAGGAACCAGAUAAUUUGGAACUCUGAAUUCAGGGAGAGUUUUGAAACUCCAAGCUGAAAUCCACAAACUUCUUCUAGGUGUUAGUAUUUAAAGCCCUUAACACCUUUGAAUCAUAGAAUCGUAGAGUUGGAAGGGACCCCGAGUAUCAUCUAGUCUGACCCCCUGCAAUGCAGGAAUCUCAGCUAGAGCAUCCAUGACAGAUGGCCCUCCAACCUCUGCUUAAAAACCUUCAAGGAAGGACAGUCCCCAAGGGAGACCAUUUCACUGUCAAACAGCUCUUACUGUCAGAAAGUUUUUCCGUAUGUUUAGUCGGAAUCACCUUUCUUGUAACUUGAAGCCUUGGGUUCGAGCCCUACCCCCCGGGAGCAGGAGAAAACAAGCUUGCCCCCUCUUCCUGAGUCCUUGAGGAGGCGUUUUUAGAUUCUCUGUCCUUCUUUGUCCUAGGUAGGAGAGAGAAUUAUUCGCCGGCACGACUAUUUUUGCAAGCCUACUAGGACCUGCCAUCUUCUUCCCAGUGGCCCAUUAGUCAUCGAGCUCCCCACCUGACUUAAGUUUGCGCCGAGCUGCAAGUAGGGGCUGUUCGUCACAAUGACUAAUUGGCCUUGUGUUAUUAUGUCUAUCUGUCAUUGCUUUUGCAGGCUGGGGGGCUGGGGAGGGGACCCUGGGCCGUAAUAGAAGCCGCGAACAUUUCUGUGCAUUACAAAUGGGACAAGGUUGUUGUGUAUAAAUCCACAGCCUGUUGGGGAAUGCAGGUUCUCCUGCCGGCCGACUAGGCUCUACAGUAUUGAUCUAUAGCUUAGUUCAAUCCCCGAUCUGUCGGGCAGUAUUGAUCUCUGAGCUACCUGUUUAAAUUUGUAUUAACAGCCCAGGUGGAAACGAAUGGAGACAGCAAAACGGCAGUGCUGGCUUGGGAUCACUAAAAUUUAAGUACCUCUAAAAGCAGAUGAUUGAUACAUAUUAAACUCCAGCUACGCGAAGGUUCGAUGGCCUCUGCAAAUUCAGGGCAUGGCCUGUAUAUCAUAGCAAGAGGUUUAAUGACCCCAGGAGAAAGAGAAUAAUCCUUCCUUCGUAUUUCAAGCGAAAGGUGCGAGAGGAAAUGUCUGUCAGGGACUGGACUGAGGAGGAAUGGUGGGGACCGGCCCCCUCCUCCCGAGAAGGGAACAGUAUAGAUUUAGAAUAGUGGUUUGUGGAAGGUCAUAGUUCAGAGGCUGCAGAGGGUAGAAGCUGGGAAAUAUUGGAAGAGGAGCAGGAAGAAGAAGAAGCACUAGGGGAGAGACAACUGACAGACUCGGUGUCUUUAGAAAGCAUUCCUGACCCCCCUCUCCCAGGACCAGGCGGGCACUGAGAGCAGGAGCGAACAAAAGUGUCAUGACACCCAGGGCUGGGCAUUGCUACAUAGAGCGCAUGUGCAGCGUCGCUAAGUAUGACGCAUGUGCAGUAUGUAGUGACGCCGCACAUGCGCUGCACACACCGGUUUGCCGGUGACGCUGCUCCAGCGCCAUACGGACGGUGCUGGGAUCCCUCAGUCACCGCUACAACUGUGAAUGGAGGAUCCUCUACAGGCGGCUGUAGCGGCGAUGGAGGGAUCCCACCGCCAUCCGUACAUCGCUUGAGAGGUGCUGGCGGCAAACUGCUAUGUACAACGCAUGUGCAGCAUCGUUAUGUACAGCGCAUGUGUGCGACGUCGCACAUGCACUGUACGUAGCGGUUUUCCGCCAGGGCCGGGAUCCUCUGCUUGUGGCUGCAGCCGCAACAGAGGUUCCUCCACAUGCGGCUGCGGCGGCGCGAUGGCUGCUUGUGCCCCCGCAGGGUGCCUUCUUGUCACCCCCCCAGACAUGGCACCCGGGGCGCACUGCCUCCCCCAUUGUGACGCCACUGAUUGAGAGUAGAAGAACAGAAAGCUCAGAGGCAGAAAACACAGAUCAGCCGGCUCAAGGGUGACAUAGAAUAGGAGGGGCUGAGGGGGUGGGACUUUACUCGGAGCAACACCAUUAUCUAAGAGAGACGGUAUUUCUACAUUCUCUCUCUGUGAAUAUUGAAUAAAAGAAUUGGUAAGAUCUCUUCUUGUUUAUCUACUUCUUGGCUGCCACCGUGGGAGGGAUUCCCUGAAGCCUGACAAUGUCCUGGAGAAAAGGGAGUGCAUCAGGAGUUCAUUAGAGUCGGCCAGCUUGUUGGUUUGGCCAGGCUCCCGUGUCUUUGGCUGCUUCUUACACAGCUGGUCAUCAGUUGGCAAUGCUUUGUCUGGUGUGCAUAACUCCAUACUCUCCAACAUUUCUUGAAUGAAAAUAGGGAUUCUGGGAUCAAAUCAGAAACCGGGAUGGCUUCUGUAAAUUCAGGACUGUCCCUAGAAUAUUUUAAUCCUCUCCCUCAGCCGGGUGCUAUUGUAUUUCAAUCAUUUUAUUGUACAUCGCAUCAAUGAAAUGAAAUGAAUGAAUAUAAAAGCUUGAUUGUUUAUUUCUUUUAAAAAUAUCGCAGGUAGUGAAACGUUGCCCCCAUUAUUUAACAAAUGCUUCUACACUUGUAAAAAUAGAUAACAAAAAAGACACCACACUCCCUUGCACCUCAUUAUGGCAAUAAAAUGCUGUUAAACCGCCACUGUCGCAACCUGUUUUCCACCAGGUGACGGCGCUGUUGCUUUACAUAAAUCCUCAUUGCUAUCUGAAAUGUACAAUUCUACUGACACUCUCUCCCUGGCAUUCAAUUGCCGCUGAACCUUCAUUUGAGUUAGACAGAAACGUGGUCGGCAAAUGUGAGUCCAGCCUUGGUUUCAUCACCUGGGGGAACUCCCAGCUGUGGCUUGCAGAGAUGUGGAAAGGAAAUUUGCUUUGUGGCGAUGGAGAGCACCAGGUGAUGCCUUGGGGAGGGGGGCAUCUUUUCUUUAGAAGCAUGGUAGCCUCUUCCAUGGAUUUCUGUGGCCUGUUUUAAUUUACCGUAUUUUUCCAUGUAUAACACGCUCCCAUGUAUAAGAUGCCCCCUAUUUUUGGGGACUCCAACUUAAGAAAAAGGGGGAAGAUUGCCCAGAGCUGUUGAGCUUUUUUUGGUGGUGGGGGGGGUGGACCUGAGUUGUUGAGACUUUUUUAGGGGAAAUGUUGCCAAAUACGCUCACCCAUCUGACCUCCGCUACUGCACACAUGCCAAAAUACUGUUCCAACGCCACCCCAAGAGUUGUUCAGCUACUUUUUAUUGCGGAGGAUAGCCUCCUCACUUAUUGAGAUUUUUGGGGGGAGGGGGCAGCCACCAAACUAAGGUCCAAUUGCCACAACAGCAGCUGGAUAAAGCCAUGGACGCCACCAACCACCCACACUAACAGCGCUACUGCAGACAAUCUCCUGCUCAAAUAAGCCCCGUCCAUGUCCCAGCAGCCAAUCACCCACCCAACUGUCAAAGCAGCAGCCUACCAAAUACAGUGGUACCUCGGGUUACAGACGCUUCAGGUUACAGACGCUUCAGGUUACAGACUCCGCUAAUCCAGAAAUAGUACCCCAGGUUAAGAACUUUGCUUCAGGAUGAGAACAGAAACCAUGCUCUGGCAGUGCGGCGGCAGCAGGAGGCCCCAUUAGCUAAAGUGGUGCUUCAGGUUAAGAACAGUUUCAGGUUAAGAAUGGACCUCCGGAAUGAAUUAAGUACAUAACCCGAGGUACCACUGUAAAGCCCUGGACGCAUAGGAUCAUAGGACCAGGAAUAGUAGAUUUAGAAGGGACCCAAAAUGUCAUCUGGUUCAACUCUCUGCAAAAAAGGAAUCACAGUGAACCCCCACAACAGACAGCCAUCCUACCUCUGUUUAGAAACCUACAUUGAAGGAGAAACCACCACCUUCCGAGGUAGUCAGUUCCAUGUUGAACAGAAAUCACCGUCCGAACGUUCUUCCUUAUGUCUCGUCGGAUUGAACUUUCUUGUCAUUUGAAUCCUUUGUUUCAAGUCCUCCCCUCUGGAGCAGGAGAAAACAAUCUUGCUUCAUGUUUUGUGGGACAACCCUUGAGAAUAUUGGAAGGUUGUGAUCAUAUCUCCUCUUUCCCAAGCUAAACAUACCCAGCUCCUUCAACCGUUCCUCAUAAGGCUUGGUUUCUGGAUCACCUUGGUCGCCCUCCUCUGUGCACCUUCCAGCUUGUCAAUAUCCCUCUUCAACUGUGGUGCUCAGAACUGGACACAGGACUCCAGGUGGGGUCUGUGACUUCCCUUGAUCUUGAGCUCUUACCUGAAGUCUGAAUUGGCACAGGGAAUUGGCACCCUUCAGUGACAAUGAGGUGUGAGAUAACUUCCCUAGCCUGCGAUCCACUCAGAUACUAUAACACCAGGACAACUCCUUUGUGUGUUUCGUGCCUAUUUCUUCACCACCGUGAAUUGCCCUCGUCAUGAUUUGCCAGCCCACAGCUUCAGUCUCUUGUGUUACAUGGAUGUUCUGGAAACUGAUAAAGAAGUUAAUGUACAUUGAUGACAGGAAUUGAUUUCCAAUUUCCUGUGGAACGACUCUGUCGCUGCCUCUGACUUGGGCAAUUUAGCCUAUAUUACAGUGCUAGCCAAGGGCUAUAGAUCAUUGUGACAGGCCUAGUAACACUGAAUUGUUGACAAGAUAUUGAAGGAGAGUUUUUAAUAUAUAAAACUUUACUGUUCUUCCUCGCUGCCCCCUCCCCCUGGAAAAAAAUCCAGCUCCUACAAUUCCUCUCCUUUGCAGCAGUUCAGUGUGAGGUAUCUGCCUAUGUGCACAGUUCUUGAUAUAACCAAUGAAUAUAAAGCAGUAUCUUACUACUUUAAAAAGCCAUGGCUUCCCCUACAAGAAUCCUGGGAAAUGUAGUUUGUCUAGAGUGUUGCCAGGAGACCCUUAUUCCCAGAGCUACUUAACAACCAAUCCCUCUUCACUGGGAACUCUUGGAAAUGUAGCUCUGGGAGGGGAAUAUUGGGGUCUUCUAAGAACUCUGAGCACCCUCAACAAACUACACUUGAUGGACUAUGCUGAAAUGGCAAAAAUGACGGGAAAACUCAGAAAUCAGGAAUAAUAAUAAUAAUAAUAAUAAUAAUAAUAAUAAUAAUAAUUUAUUAUUAUACCCCACCCAUCUGGCUGGGUUUCCCGAGCCACUCUGGGCAGCUUCCAACAAAAUAUUAAAAUACUGUAAUACAUCAAACAUUAAAAGCUUCCCUAAAGAGGGCUGCCUUCAGAUGUCUUCUAAAAGUUUGGUAGUUAUUUUUCUCUUUGACAUCUGGUGGGAGAGCGUUCCACAGGGCGGGUGCCACUACUGAGAAGGCCCUCUGCCUGGUUCCCUGUAACUUGGCUUCUCGCAGCGAGGGAACUGCCAGAAGGCCCUCGGCGCUGGACCUCAGUGUCCGGGCAGAACGAUGGAGGUGGAGACGCUCCUUCAGGUAUACUGGACCGAGGCCGUUUAGGGCUUGAAAGGUCAGCACCAACACUUUAAUAACUUUAAUAAGGAAUGAGGGGGAUUUAGAAUUUAGCUUAAAAACCACUGUAAACAGUUAAAAACAUUAGCGGGAUUGCAGUGAGACACUUGUAAUGUAUCGAGGACUAUGGAUACAUUGGAGAUAUAAAAAAUUGGAUAAUGAUAAAAGAUGCAGCAGGAAAGGUUUAACAAUAAGACCUACAAAAGGGAGGAGGGAAGUCUAGGAGAUUCAUGGGAAUCUUGUUUUUAUAUAAUAUGUUGUGGUAUGAGUGUAAAUUCUAAUAUGGAAAAUCAAAUAAACAAAUUUUUUGGGGGAAACCAAACAAACUACACUACCCAGGGUUCUUUGGGAGAAAGGCACGACUGCUUAUAGUGGCAUGAUACUGCUUUAAAUGUAUAAUGCAGAUGGGGCCAUUUGUUUCUUGUUCAGAUCCCUGAAGUGACUGUGCCCAGAGGCGGAGCUAGCUGCUCUGGCACCCGGAGCGGCGCACAUGCUGUGCCCAUGGGGGUGCUGCCCGCAUCAAGCAUCCUGGGGGGUGCUGUCCAUGGCGAGCGUCCCAGGGAGGCAGCGUGGUGAUGUCACCCCCCUCAGGGAUGACACCCGGGGUGGACCGGACCCACCGCAUCCCCUUCCUCCGCCAGUGACUGUGCCACACUACCUUUCUUCCAUGCCUCCCCUUCAUAAACAUAUAAAGCAUGGGUAGGCAAACUAAGGCUCGGGGGCCGGAUCCAGCCCACUCACCUUCUAAAUCUGGCUGUGGACAGUCCGGGAAUCAGCGUGUUUUUACAUGAGUAGAAUGUGUCCUUUUAUUUAAAAUGCAUCUCUGGGUUGUUUGCUGACCCCUGAUAUAAAGCGACCUCUGCUGGAUCAGAACAAAGUCUCAUCUAGUCCAGUGUCCUGUUUCUCAUGGCCAAAUAGAUCAGGCAUAGGCAACCUCAGCCCUCCAGAUGCUUUGGGACCACAACUCCCAUCAUCCCCGACCACUGGUCCUGUUAGCUAGAGAUGAUGGGAGUUGUAGUCCCCAAACAUCUGGAGGGCCAAGUUUGCCUAUGCCUGAAAUAGAUGCUUCUCAGAAACCUGGAAGCACAGCAUGAGCACCACAGUCCUUUUCCCCUUGGGAUCCGCAGGAACUGGUCUAUUUGGCCAAAACCAUCUCCUCCCCCCUGGCCAUUUCCCCACGGACUGCAGCCCACCUGACACAUCCCGCCUCAGUGUGUUGCAUCAGUGGCUGAGCAGGAUUAAAUGUGGCUGUUUUGGUUCGUUCACAUCAGAGCUGUCAGGUACAAACUGCAUUAAAUGCUGCUUUGGAGGGCUUUUUUCUUCUUCUCCUUAAGUUUCUGAUCAAAGCUAUUGAAAUAGAUGUAACCCAUGGGCCUCAUUUAAUUGUCGGAGAAAUGACUUAACCAGGUAUUCUAUAUUCGUGUCACAUAUUAUUUGUAUGCAUAUUCAGUGAGCUGCUGUUCCCUUUCUUUCUUCUUCCUUGUGUGCUUUUGUAAAUCAAAGAUCUGCCUGACUGCUGAUUAACAGCUUUGUCCUAAGGCAGUGUGCUGUAGUGGUUAGAGCGCUGGAUUAAAACCCGGGACAUCCAGGUUAGAGUUCAAAUUCAAAUUCACUGGGGCAGUCUCUCCAAAAUACUUUAUAGAGUUAUUGCGAGGAUAAAUCCAGGUGUCACAGUACACCUCUGGAGAAAGGGAGAGAGAAAAAACGUAAUCCAUCCCUAUAGACAAUGCAAAUGGGAUUCUUGCCCUGGAGAAAUUGGCAUCUUUUAGGCCAGUUCCCUUGCUCUGCCUUGCAAACUGCUCUGAGCUCUUGGAGGAAGAGCAGGAUUAAAAUGCAAUGUAAGCACAUUUACUCAGAAGUAAGUCAAUAGUUCUGCCUUGGUACGUAUACAUUAGAUUGCAAGAGAAGUUGCGAUGCUGAAAAAUUCCAAUGAAAACAGAAGCGGGAGCAGAAAUAGUUGAUGUUCUCUUAUUCCUUCAGUGUCUAGAAUGGAAAUCAUUCCAAUAGGUAUUUGCUUGCACUGCUGCUUUCAGUGCACAUAGGAGACACAAUUGAUUACAUGGCCCCACUUGCAAGGUGUUUCCCAAAUGGGGUGGAUUAAUGUUUGUAAUGACAACCUAACUUAUCUAAUUUUACGUAACUGAUUCCAUGGUCACAUCAUUUUGCUACAGUGGACAGUGUGAGAAAUAAUGUAGGGUCGCACAGACGAUGAACUGCAGCAGAAUGGAAACAGCUAUGCAGGUGAUGAGCACAGGGUGGAGUGGAAAACAAUGCCUUCUUAACUCCCUAAAUUGAAGCCAGCUCCAGGGGGCUAAAGCUCUUUGGGCACUCUCAAUCUUUUAUUUUUUUAGGGGUCCCCCCCCAUUGUUGAGGCUGAACAUGGAGCUAGGCGUGAAGCAACGUCAGGGCAUCAUGAGACAUUGCAUGUGUGAUGUUCGGACGUUGCAUUGGGCUCCCUCAACGCACUUUGGAAGAUGGCGCCUCUGCUCCAGGGUCCCAGCAAACAGUCUUUCUCAGCCUUACAUAUCUGGCAACACCAGGGAUGGAACCUGGGGCUUUCCUCAUGCAAUGCAAGAUCAAUACCAUGGAACUGCAGCCUUUCCAAAGGACCAAGGCCCAGGCAGUGAUCUUUAUUAUGACCCAGAGAAUUUUGCCAGUCCUGAAACUCUGAUGUCUGCAUCUGUAGGGUUACAUGUGCUUGCAAACUGUUAAGAUUCUUCAACAUCAGCUUCGUUGGACUGGUCAUGUUGUGCGAAUGCCUGAUUAUUGUCUUCCAAAGCAACUACUCUAUUCUGUACUUAAAAAUGGAAAGUGUAAUGCUGGUGGUCAACAAAAGAGGUUUAAAGACUGUCUCAAGGCAAAGCUAAAUUUUUUUAGUAUAAACAACUGGGAAACAUUGGCCUGAGAGCGCUCCAAUUGGAGAGCAGCCUUUACUAAAGGUGUCAUGGGCUUUGAAAAUGCUCAAACGCAGGACAAAAAGGAGAAACGUGCUAAGAGGAAGGCACGCUUGGCAAACCCUCACAGUGAUUAACUCCCGCUUGGAAACCUAUGUCCCCACUGUGGAAGGACAUGUGGAUUCAGAAUUGGCCUCCACAGUCACUUCGGACUCACCAUUAAGAUCAUGUUCAUGGAAGACAAUCUUACUCGGCCUCGAGUGAUCGCCAAAGAAGAAGAAGAAGAAGAAGAAGAAGGAGGAGGAGGAGGAGGAGGAGGAGGAGGAAGAUUUAUUAUGUUUGCACUUUAGGCGGACACUUUGAAAGUCUUGAAUGCGCAUAAAAUUAAAUAAUGUCUGAAGGGACUGUGUGAAAGGGGGAUCAUCGCUUCAGUCCAAGGCACCAAGUUGUGCCCAACAUUGAGCGGGCCUGUGACAUGAUGUCACACACACACAACAUGCAGCACCGGUGCUCUCGUCAGCAGGGUUGUGCCAGGAUGCCAAAGAUCCAGCCAUCCAGUGUGACCCUUGGAUCUUGGCACAUUGGGAAGGCCAACUGUUGACAGGAGCCUCUGCACUUGCCCUUCUGCACCCCCUCAAUAUUCAGGGCCCCCAGCCCCUUGCCCCCAGAUAUUCAGGGGGCCGAAGACCCUUUGGUCCCCUGUAGCUUGCAUGCCUGGACAGAGUCAACUAAUUAUAUUUUUGGACCCAUCCUCCUCCUCAUUGCUGAGUCUACAAGGGCAACACUGAGGCUUAGGAGGAGGAGGAAGAGGAGGAGGAGGAAGAAGAAACUGACAACCAGGUCAGCUCCCCUGGACUGGAUAUAAACAAGAAGGCAGGCAGGCAGGCAGGCGGAGGCUGGCUGAGGGCAGUCUGAUUUUGGUGGAGCGGUGCCCCCUUUGCCCUAAUGCACCAGCCUCUACUGGUCAUGACCCCCUGUGGGCAUCUCGAGGUGUUGAAGAUGGGCAGGCAAUUUCUUGCUCUCCUCCAUGCAAAUGAGCCUGGCUGGGGGAGAAGUAUCAGUCAAUAAGUCCCCGCGUGGUUAAAGCAAUUGUCCUGCAUCGGUGCUGCUGAGCCGAUAGUAUGAUAACUGCUAGUAAAACACAGCCUGUUGUAGGCAUAAAGGACAACAGUUAUUAGAGCUCGCAUUUUUUAGAAACACUGUUUAUAUUCACCGCAAAGCCUUUUGAUAAAAUUACAGCUGCCAACUGUACGUUUGGGGAUAGUUUAUUCACGGCGUGUCACUCUCAAUUUCCAUCUUUGUCUGCCGCGAGAGCAUGUUAAAUCGGUAAGAGAGGUGGUAUAUUAUCUAGCUUUAAAUGAAUCUCUAUUGUUUAAAUUUCAGGCUCGGGACAAAUUGCUUUCGAAGCCAGGAGAGUGCGGGGUUGGCCUAGCGGCUCAUCAAUUCCAAGAAGAGUGGCAGAGAGAUACAGCGGCACUCAUGUGCUCCAGAGCAGGAGGAAAAGAAGAUUUGCUGCAAUUAAGAUUGAGUGGAGGACCUGGGGAUGGGUGGAGAUGGAAAUACAGGGAGGAUAAUUCGGAGGUUAAAACCUGCCCUUGUUAAAAUUACAUUUCUUUUAUUCUGCCAUCCAUGGAUCACAAUGAUUAGCGAUUUGUUUAUAUGCCACUCAGUUGCCAAUGCAGCUUCUAAGUG
Molecule: non-coding RNA, 15989 nt
Organism: Podarcis lilfordi (Lilford's wall lizard)
Lineage: Eukaryota; Metazoa; Chordata; Lepidosauria; Squamata; Lacertidae
Source: the annotation of a GenBank genome assembly